UAAUAUGAAGCAAAUUAUGCAAUUAGUUUCGACCUAAUUUCUUUGAUAUUUAAUUAUCCAUAUUAA
RNAcentral lists this transfer RNA (66 nucleotides) under Margattea limbata. Its description in RNAcentral is "tRNA-Arg". The record is from RNAcentral. Lineage: Eukaryota; Metazoa; Arthropoda; Insecta; Blattodea; Pseudophyllodromiidae.